CUUGAUGGAGCCGAGGAGCAGCGGCUGGUCGGCCGGCCGCUCCUGGCCGUACGUGGCCAGCAGCGCCUGCGCCUC
RNAcentral lists this antisense RNA (75 nucleotides) under Streptomyces sp. ADI95-16. RNAcentral describes it as "ASpks TB sRNA". It matches the Rfam family "ASpks TB sRNA". Lineage: Bacteria; Bacillati; Actinomycetota; Actinomycetes; Kitasatosporales; Streptomycetaceae. The record is from RNAcentral.